Molecule: non-coding RNA, 817 nt
Organism: Camelina sativa (false flax)
Lineage: Eukaryota; Viridiplantae; Streptophyta; Magnoliopsida; Brassicales; Brassicaceae
Source: RefSeq, a predicted model, not a curated record
UAUUUGCUUUUUCUGUGUUGCUUUCUCACCAUCUUCUUUGUUCCUCGAUUCAUCUUCAAUUCUUACUCAAAUCUUCACUUCAUACAUCAAUUUCUUUUAAUCUCAGUUCUAUUAAUCUAAACUCUCCAUCGAUAUGUUAUAGCAACCUGAAAAAAAAAACAAAAAAAAAACAAAAAAAAAGAUGCUUUCGGGUAGUUCUCAUUGACGAUCGACUUCCAUAUGUUUGGGUUUCAGUCGAAAUUUUUUCGAUUGGGUUAAUUCCUUCUACAAUUCGAUGAUGUGGUUGGUGCUCACAUCAAAUGACAAUCAUACCAAUGGGGGGUUAUUGAUUGUAACAGAGAUAAAUAACAAUCAGAUAAGUACUUUGGAGAUUGUUUAAUUUAUAAUAGCUAUAAGUUAUUGGUUAUGUGAAAUGAAAUGCUGAUUACGGUUGUUAUAUUCUUAUGGGUUAUCUGCUAAACAUCAAGAAAUUACACUUUACAAAAGGCUGAGAAGAGUCAUCAUGAUUGACACCACUCAUAUCUAAAGUAUGUUUUAAAGGUAUGAAGGACACGGACAUGCACUUUCCAACGAGUUUUAAAAGGCUUGACAUCUCGGAGAAAAGCGUAAGAAGAAGCCAUUGCAAGUGAAAGACAAUCGAAGCCCAAAAAUCAUUGAUUCCGGGUUAUUGUGAGAGAGGACGCGGAUCCUUUAUGUGUACGGGUCGGAUAAUUUCGAUUGUGUAUUUUUGUCCAAAUUAUCCCUUCCAAUUUUUAAAAACCCUCUCCUUUAUGCUUAAUUGAAGGGUAAUCUUGGAAUUUUUUGACAAUUUUCUAAU